RNAcentral lists this ribosomal RNA (409 nucleotides) under Enterobacter cloacae complex sp. 4DZ3-17B2. RNAcentral describes it as "bacterial SSU rRNA". It matches the Rfam family "Bacterial small subunit ribosomal RNA", at positions 337 to 763 of the family's 1533-position model. The record is from RNAcentral. Lineage: Bacteria; Pseudomonadati; Pseudomonadota; Gammaproteobacteria; Enterobacterales; Enterobacteriaceae.
UCCUACGGGUGGCUGCAGUGGGGAAUAUUGGACAAUGGGCGCAAGCCUGAUCCAGCCAUGCCGCGUGAGUGAUGAAGGCCCUAGGGUUGUAAAGCUCUUUUGUGCGGGAAGAUAAUGACGGUACCGCAAGAAUAAGCCCCGGCUAACUUCGUGCCAGCAGCCGCGGUAAUACGAAGGGGGCUAGCGUUGCUCGGAAUCACUGGGCGUAAAGGGUGCGUAGGCGGGUCUUUAAGUCAGGGGUGAAAUCCUGGAGCUCAACUCCAGAACUGCCUUUGAUACUGAGAAGCUUGAGUCCGGGAGAGGUGAGUGGAACUGCGAGUGUAGAGGUGAAAUUCGUAGAUAUUCGCAAGAACACCAGUGGCGAAGGCGGCUCACUGGCCCGAUACUGACGCUGAGGCACGAAAGCGUG